This 293-nucleotide ribosomal RNA is filed under the name uncultured eukaryote. RNAcentral's name for it is "partial 18S ribosomal RNA". It matches the Rfam family "Eukaryotic small subunit ribosomal RNA", at positions 6 to 299 of the family's 1831-position model. The record is from RNAcentral.
GGUUGAUCCUGCCAGUAGUCAUAUGCUUGUCUUAAAGAUUAAGCCAUGCAUGUCUAAGUAUAAGCAUUUAUACUGUGAAACUGCACAUGGCUCAUUAAAUCAGUUAUAGUUCAUUUGAUGGUACCUUACUACAUGGAUAACCGUAGUAAUUCUAAAGCUAAUACAUGCAUAAGGUCCCAAUUCACGAAGGGACGUAUUUAUUAGGUUAAAAACCAAUGCGGGUUUUGCUCGCUUUGUUGUUGAAUCAUAAUAACUGUUCGAAUCGCAUGACUUCACGUCGGCGAUAGGUCAUU